CCCUGGAGACCGCCGGCGGCGGAUAGCCGCGAAAUCCCGAGGUGGUUAACCGGGUCUCAUGGCGGCGGCGAGGAGAGGGAGCGCUAGCCUGGGGUGCGCGAGCCCGGCGCAGCCCGCUGGGAGCACAGGGGCGCGGGCGCGAGCGCGCGGAUGGAGGAUGCGUGGCCGGCCGGCUCGGAGCCGAGGCGGAAGCGGCCGAGGUGCGGGGGCGGCCCCGGGUGACGCUGCGGCCCUUCGAGCCCUUCUCGCCCUUCUCCAGGGCGGCGGCGACUGGAGCUUCAUCUGCUGCGAGAAAGAGGAGGUGGACCUACAGGACCUGCUCAGCGCCACCAUCGCCUGCCACCUGGACCCCCGCGUGUUCCUGGACGGCCUGUGCCGGCUUUACAGCAGCCAGCUCCUUUUUCUGAUGAAAUUGAAGUUGACUUUAGUAAGCCCUAUGUCAGGGUAACUAUGGAAGAAGCCAGCAAAGGAACACCUUGUUGCCAGAACUACUAACUUCUACCAAUUGAAGGACAGGGUUGCUGAAACCAGUGAAAUCUGUUUUCAAGGCCUAUGUCGGAAUUGUAUGCUGGAUGUGAAGGUACAUACUUGUAAUUCCACUGACGGGAGAUUGAGGCAAGAAGAUUUCAGGUUACAGUGUUGUUGUAAAGAUUCCCACAGGAGCAACAAACAUUGAAAUUCUUCUGCACAGCUAUUCUGGAAAACCAGAAGAUGACAAUCACCUCGGUAAACAUUUUUGCCCUAUCUGAUGCCCAAGGGAAUUUUCUUUUAAAUGGAGGUUUUGUUGUGAGUAUGUUAAAAGAAGAAAUAAACAUACAAGGAGCUCUUUUUGAAUACAGUGUAUCAAACAACUCAAUUGAAAGAAUUAACAGUACUGAUCGAUUGGAAGAAGAACUUGUUUUACAGGUGGCUAUGUAUGGGUAAUUUAUACAACCCUGAUGUACGAUAUUCCUUCCAUGUCCCUGUGGAGGAUACAAGUGACCUGUUCACAUGGGAGCACAUGGACCAUGACAAGACUGUACCAAAAUGUGUCAAGUGUCUUGUUACAUAUGGAAAAGGAUCAAAGCAGCAGCAGGUUUGUUGUCAACUGAAUGAAGAUCACUUGAGUGAUGGCUUUUGUAAUCCAAGUACCAAACCUGAAUCUCUAAGACCCUGUGAGCUUCAUGCACGUGCUGCUUGGAAAGUAGGAUCAUGGAGUGCACAGCUACCUGUGGCCUUGGGUAUCAGAUAUGUGCUGUUAAAUGUGUCAACAAACUCGUUAGUGCAGUAUUAGAUGACAGAGAAUGUCAAGGGGCCAUCGCCCAGGUGAUAGGACUGUAUGGUUACUCCCUGCCCAUAUAUCCCUAAUAUUGGUGCUACUUCCUUACCAGCUGUUCCCAUGGGAAAAGCAGCACAGUGGAGACAU
This is an RNA transcript of Sciurus carolinensis (gray squirrel), 1405 nucleotides long. It is a transcript of the gene named A disintegrin and metalloproteinase with thrombospondin motifs 20-like, with no coding region annotated. Lineage: Eukaryota; Metazoa; Chordata; Mammalia; Rodentia; Sciuridae. The record is from RefSeq and is a predicted model, not a curated record. The transcript has 10 exons.